This 4550-nucleotide long non-coding RNA is filed under the name Homo sapiens (human). Its description in RNAcentral is "HSALNT0209482". The record is from RNAcentral. Lineage: Eukaryota; Metazoa; Chordata; Mammalia; Primates; Hominidae.
UUGCUCUGUCGCCCAGGCUGGAGUACAGUGGCAUGAUCUCAGCUCACUGCAACCUCCACCUCCCGGGUUCUAGCGAUUCUCUGUGCCUCAGCCUCCCGAGUAGCUGGGAUUACAGGUGCCUGCCACCACGCCUGGCUAAUUUUUAUAUUUUUAGUAGAGACAGGGUUUCACCAUGUUGCCCAGGCUGGUCUUGAACUCCUGACCUCAGGUGAUCUGCCCACCUCAGCCUCCCAAAGUGCUGGAAUUUCAGGCGUGAGUCACCGCGCCCAGCUCUGCUCCAUUUCUGUAGCCUUAGUCCAUCCGGAACCCAGCACUGGCGGUCCCUCUACCAGUCUUAUUCUCUGUCAAAGUGCCCGGGUUCUUCCCUGAAAUUCCUUGUCCAUCCCCAAGCACCUCAACACAGGUGUUAAAUGACCUACCACAGGAAUUAGGUCAGUUAGGUUCAGCUCUCAGCUAAGUGGGAGAGGUAAGAUGGGAGUGGGGUGAUAUCCCCACCCUCAUUCUCAAAAGAACAAAGGUUGGAAACUUGGCUCCCCAAUUUUGGAACGAUGCCCUUAGUACUUUCUACUCAGUCAAAUGUGACUCUUCUUCCCUCUGUAAAGGGGUUAAAUUUGUGCCAAUUCACCCAUACGCUGUCUCUAGUUCUGUGCUAGGUUGUAGAAACAGGACAAAGCUGUGCGCCACCCCCUCAUCCCCAGCCUCCUUAGAGCCCAGCUCUUGCAUAGGGGCGUCACCCUCCAUGGUCAAGCAAGGGUGGGCCCCUUCUCACCCACUUGGGCCCAGUCUCCCACCUUUCUAGGCUUCAGCUUUUCUUCUUUCUAGGUCCUAAACCUUGGAAAAGGUUCUGUCAUCUGCAUAAAUCUCGAGGUAGCUGGGCCCAGUUAAGCACUGAAGGCUGCCCCGGUUCCUUACUCUCUAGCUCUUCUCCCCAUUUCUCAUCCCCCCCCCCACCUUUUUUUUGUGUGUGUGUGAUAGGGUCUCACUCUCUUGCCCAGGCUGGAGUGCAGUGGCAUGAUCUCGGCUCACUGUAACCUCCGCCUCCUGGGUUCAAGCAAUUCUCCUGCCUCAGCCUCCCGAGUAGCUGGGACUACAGGUGCACACCACUACACCCGGCUAAUUUUUAUAUUUUUAGUGGAGAUGGGGUUUCGCCGUGUUGGCCAGGCUGGUCUCGAACUCCUGACCUCAAGUGAUCCACCUGCCUUGGCCUCCCACAGUCCUGGGAUUACAGGUGUGACCCACCACACCCAGCCCUCCCUGCUUUUCUUUUCUUUUUGUUUUAAAUUUAUUAUCUUUCUGUCCUGCCUGUUGGUUGGGUGACUGGAGCCUGGAGUUCCCUAAAGGAAAAUUUUAGAAGGGAAACAUUCUAAUCUGUAGAAAAUCUUCAAAUUCCUAAGCAAACAAGAGCAAAAGAUCUCAAAGUAAACAGGCCAGCAGACGGAGAGUCUUCUUUAAUGCACUUUGAUUUCCUCCAAGAAGUUACAGAUUGUGUGGGGACAGGUAGGACUAAGAGUGCCUAGAGAAAGGGGAAGUGAUAUGAGGGGGAAAUAAUAUAUCACAUCAGCAACUUCCUUGAAUUCAGUUCCUUGAUUCCUUCUGCCUGCCUUAUCCAUCAGGAUACAUUUCCUGUAGCGGCCACGUGUACCAAGUCCUUCCAGAAAGUAAGGAUUUUUCUUUAAAGAGGGAACAAACUAGUCUGAGCAAUCUGAAGACCUUCCCCUGGGGCCUGGAAAUUCAGAAGGCUGGGAGCUUGGGUGGAUUUGCAUGGAAAGUUCAGUUGCUACUGGAAGUGAUUAAGUGGUGACAGAAUUGAGUCUGUCAGAUGGGUCUUCCUUCCCCAAGACUUCCCACCCCCGUACCCACCCACUCCCCCACCCCCAGCUUUCUGCCAGAUUUUCAUUAACUUGCCUUAAGUGUAGCUGAAAUUUCAUUUGGCAAGAAAAGUCUGAGUUGUGGAACUCCAGUCUGAAACAUGCCCAAGAAACAUUCCCCAACCUCUGGUGCCUGGACAAGAAUAUCCUAGGCUGUUUCCCCAUUGAAAGAGAGCAUUACAGAAACUGAAACUGGACCUCACCUGUGUUUCCCUCCUAGAGAAGUACGACUCUCCAACCCAUUCCUUCAUUUGCAUCAAAAAGAACUAUUCUCCAGGCCUCCUGCCAAGGGCAGGAAUAAGAGGAAUAAGUCAUGGCCUCUGCCCCUAAGAGCUCCUUGCUUAGGUGGAGAGGGAGACAGACAACUGCAUGGAAAGGCGUGAUGAGAUGAAAGCCCAUAGCACGGGAGCUGAGCCCAGGCACCAGCGCGGAGUGCAGGUGGGAGAGACGGGACCCGAGCUCAUAUUCCAGUUAGCUAUUUACCUGCCAGUACUAUAUUAUCUUAUCCCAUGCCCCAAGUGACUGUGGCAGGCACCCUUUUCACAGGGGGCAGGAAGUAUGACCCAGCAUCAGCCAAUCUGAGUCAUUGACAAGUAGGACUGGACUCUGAACACUGACAUGAAAAUAGGGCCAAGGCCCACAAACCGGCCAGCAAUCCAGGCCUUCCCACCUCCGUCAUUGAGAGGCAAUUUCCCAAGGCAGGACCUUGCCACGUGGCCCACUGUAUGUUUCCUAGCUACUGGACAGCUGGCUCUAUAGACUCUUCCGUGUACAUAAAUUCAGUCAUUCUUUUCUCAAAACACAGAGUAAACCUCUGGUUUGAAAGAGAGACUCAAGCCUUGGACACACAAAUAUCCUGCAAUCUACAAGUCAAACGGGAGUGGAAGCUUUCAUUUCUUAGAGGCUAGAACCGGGAAUAACAGUACCCCCAGCAGACUGACCAUGAAGGGUUCUGUCUGUGUGUGCACAACUUCCCAGGCCUGAAAUGUGUGCAGCAAGGAUGUCCUCAAGGGGCUCUUGUGCACGUUGCCCUCUACCCAUGGUCCCCACAGCGGGACCAGCUCCACACACAGGGAAGAAUGGAAAGGACACCCAGAGCCAACCUGGCCCUGGGACCUCCCCUCCUGGCUUUCACGGCUCCUCAGAUUGGGUCAGUCACACCGAAAGGACUUUCUGGAAGGAGCGCACCAGAAUUUCUGUUCUGGGAAGAUGGUGGAAGGCAGAGCUGAGUUCAUUGCUUAUGGAGGGGAGAGAAUAGCCCCUGCACAGAGCCUCCAUCGCGGCUGCCAGGGGAAGUGGAGAGGCUAGGAUCUCACUGAGAAUUUCAAGAUUGGUUUAAGGAGGGCCUUUCAAUGCAGGGGCUUGCUUGGGAUUGGGGGAGAUAAUGAUACAGUAGUUUCAGGUUGGUGGCAACAGCUAGGCGAGGGGUUUGAAAUGUCUUAGGUGUGAAAUGUCUGUUGAUGCUUCUAUUAAAUAAAGCUCGCCUAUUGAAGAGUUGAUGGGCCUCUUGGGAAAUUCCUGUAAUAAACAAUGAAGUUAUUUGCCUGGGCAAGAGACUCUUGGAAUAGUAAAGUUAUUGUACCAAAGACAGUGGGAGAAAAAAAGUCAUGUUAAUGCAGACAAUAAACUUGGAGGUGGAAGGGGAUAGUUUCUGCCUCAAUCUGACUAGUCAUUAGGCCUAAAGACCUGAGGGCUAGGACACAUGUCAAGUAUCUUUCAACACAUUUAAAAAGUUAAAAAUUCAGGAAAUGGACCCACGACAAUGUUGGAGGUCUGCUAAGCAGGACAGGGAGCAUGGAGGAGGGGUGCAUUAAAAAACAAGCCUCGGGCCAGUCUGGGUGGCUCACGCCUGUAAUCCCAGUGCUUUGGGAGGGCGAGGCAGGCGGAUCACAAGGUCAGGAGAUCGAAACCAUCCUGGCUAACACGGUGAAACCCCGUCUCUACUUAAAAAAAGACAACAAAUUAGCUGGGCUUGGUGGCGGGCGCCUGUAAUCCCCGCCACUUGGGAGGCUGAGGCAGGAGAAUCGCUUGAACCCAGGAGGCGGAGGUUGCGGUGAGCUGAGAUCCACCACUGCACUCCAGCCUGGGCGACAGAGCGAGACUCGGUCUCAAAAAACAAACAAACAAAAAAACAAGCCUUACCUGUUUUAGAAUCUCACCUAUCACUGACGAGCCUUAGCUCCAAUCCCAUCACACUAUAAUUCACACUGCAGAGGACCCAGCUAAUCCAGCUAUGGGUGAAUAAUAAUGGUAGUAGGUGUCAUUUAUGAAACAAUGACUAUAUGCCAGGCAUAUGUGAUCAUCACAGGGGGACAUUAUUGAGGAAACCAAGGUUCAAAGAGGCUUGGUAACUUGUCUGAGGUGAUGAAACCAAGAAAAGUGGCCAUUCUGGGACUCAAACCUGCUCCCUUUGGCUCCAAAGCUCUUUGUUCCCAGACUGGUCAGGGUGAGCCUCCUCAUUUUACUGAAGAUGUUCAAGGCUUCUCAACAGCUGCCAUUUUCCAGUGCAGCUGGUGUUAAUCUUACAUGGCCCUGGCCACCAAAUAAACUUAUUUUACUCUGAGAAGUCAUUUGCUACUGUUUCUAUUGUGUAAAAUUUUUCUCAUAGGAAACAUUGAAAAGAUACCUCAUAGGAGUGUGUGAAAAGUAAGUGACAGAUGCUGUAAGUCCAUAGGAAAUGGC